Non-coding RNA from Cordylochernes scorpioides, 90 nucleotides. The record is from the annotation of a GenBank genome assembly. NCBI's taxonomy places the organism in Eukaryota, Metazoa, Arthropoda, Arachnida, Pseudoscorpiones, Chernetidae.
GUACAUUUGGUUCACAAAUGGUCGGUGGAAGGCUGGUUAAACCGUUUGGUUUUGACCACUAGGACCCGGGUUCGAUUCCCGCAUUGGACA